RNAcentral lists this long non-coding RNA (448 nucleotides) under Homo sapiens (human). RNAcentral describes it as "HSALNT0029242". The record is from RNAcentral. Lineage: Eukaryota; Metazoa; Chordata; Mammalia; Primates; Hominidae.
GGCCGGUGACGGAGACUGCCCAGGUGUGGUCACCAUGUUCCUCUCCGCGGUCUUCUUUGCCAAGAGCAAGUCAAAGAAACAUUCUGGUGAGAAUGGUGAGCGAAGCUGGGACAGGUUUCUGCUUCAACACCAAGAGAAACCGACUGCGGGAAAAACUGACUCUUUUGCAUUAUGAUCCAGUUGUGAAACAAAGAGUCCUCUUCGUGGAAAAGAAAAAAAUACGCUCCCUUUAAACGGUGGAUUGAAAAUGACUUUGAUUUAUAAAGAGAAGACUGAGGGCGGGGAUACUGAUUCAGAAAUCCUGUAGCGUGUAAUAAAAGAAGAGGAAAUGGCAUGGAAUCACUGCCUCCUGUGAUUUGAAGGCCAUUGUGAAGGAAAACAAUGCAGUGAAAGAAAGUUCUUCAUAUUAGGACAGAUAUCAUUGCAUCACAUUUAUUUAUCUUUCUGG